This 268-nucleotide ribosomal RNA is filed under the name uncultured bacterium. RNAcentral describes it as "partial 16S ribosomal RNA". It matches the Rfam family "Bacterial small subunit ribosomal RNA", at positions 87 to 353 of the family's 1533-position model. The record is from RNAcentral.
GGUUUCUAGUGGCGGACGGGUGAGUAACGCGUGGGUAACCUGCCUUAUACAGGGGGAUAACAACCAGAAAUGGUUGCUAAUACCGCAUAAGCGCACAGGACCGCAUGGUCCGGUGUGAAAAACUCCGGUGGUAUAAGAUGGACCCGCGUUGGAUUAGCUAGUUGGCGGGGUAACGGCCUACCAAGGCGACGAUCCAUAGCCGGCCUGAGAGGGUGAACGGCCACAUUGGGACUGAGACACGGCCCAGACUCCUACGGGAGGCAGCAUG